Molecule: ribosomal RNA, 234 nt
Filed under: Klebsiella aerogenes
Lineage: Bacteria; Pseudomonadati; Pseudomonadota; Gammaproteobacteria; Enterobacterales; Enterobacteriaceae
Also listed under: 1 other name
Description: partial 16S ribosomal RNA
Rfam family: Bacterial small subunit ribosomal RNA
Source: RNAcentral
ACUCGACUCCAUGAAGUCGGAAUCGCUAGUAAUCGUAGAUCAGAAUGCUACGGUGAAUACGUUCCCGGGCCUUGUACACACCGCCCGUCACACCAUGGGAGUGGGUUGCAAAAGAAGUAGGUAGCUUAACCUUCGGGAGGGCGCUUACCACUUUGUGAUUCAUGACUGGGGUGAAGUCGUAACAAGGUAACCGUAGGGGAACCUGCGGUUGGAUCACCUCCUUACCUUAAAGAA